Molecule: ribosomal RNA, 252 nt
Filed under: uncultured bacterium
Lineage: Bacteria
Description: partial 16S ribosomal RNA
Rfam family: Bacterial small subunit ribosomal RNA
Source: RNAcentral
ACGGGGGGUGCAAGCGUUAUUCGGAAUCAUUGGGCGUAAAGGGCGCGUAGGCGGCCUCUUAAGUCAGAUGUGAAAGCCCGGGGCUUAACCCCGGAAGUGCAUUUGAAACUGAGAAGCUUGAGUAUGGGAGAGGGAAGUGGAAUUCCUGGUGUAGAGGUGAAAUUCGUAGAUAUCAGGAGGAACACCGGUGGCGAAGGCGACUUCCUGGACCAAUACUGACGCUGAGGCGCGAAGGCGUGGGUAGCAAACAGG